This 700-nucleotide ribosomal RNA is filed under the name Herbaspirillum aquaticum. RNAcentral describes it as "bacterial SSU rRNA". It matches the Rfam family "Bacterial small subunit ribosomal RNA", at positions 85 to 781 of the family's 1533-position model. Lineage: Bacteria; Pseudomonadati; Pseudomonadota; Betaproteobacteria; Burkholderiales; Oxalobacteraceae. The record is from RNAcentral.
CUGAUGGCGAGUGGCGAACGGGUGAGUAAUAUAUCGGAACGUGCCCUAGAGUGGGGGAUAACUAGUCGAAAGACUAGCUAAUACCGCAUACGAUCUACGGAUGAAAGUGGGGGAUCGCAAGACCUCAUGCUCCUGGAGCGGCCGAUAUCUGAUUAGCUAGUUGGUGGGGUAAAAGCCUACCAAGGCGACGAUCAGUAGCUGGUCUGAGAGGACGACCAGCCACACUGGGACUGAGACACGGCCCAGACUCCUACGGGAGGCAGCAGUGGGGAAUUUUGGACAAUGGGGGCAACCCUGAUCCAGCAAUGCCGCGUGAGUGAAGAAGGCCUUCGGGUUGUAAAGCUCUUUUGUCAGGGAAGAAACGGUAGUAGCUAAUAUCUAUUACUAAUGACGGUACCUGAAGAAUAAGCACCGGCUAACUACGUGCCAGCAGCCGCGGUAAUACGUAGGGUGCAAGCGUUAAUCGGAAUUACUGGGCGUAAAGCGUGCGCAGGCGGUUGUGUAAGUCAGAUGUGAAAUCCCCGGGCUCAACCUGGGAAUUGCAUUUGAGACUGCACGGCUAGAGUGUGUCAGAGGGGGGUAGAAUUCCACGUGUAGCAGUGAAAUGCGUAGAUAUGUGGAGGAAUACCGAUGGCGAAGGCAGCCCCCUGGGAUAACACUGACGCUCAUGCACGAAAGCGUGGGGAGCAAACAGGAUUAG